This 9103-nucleotide unclassified non-coding RNA is filed under the name Diabrotica virgifera virgifera (western corn rootworm). RNAcentral describes it as "phosphoribosyl pyrophosphate synthase-associated protein 2". Lineage: Eukaryota; Metazoa; Arthropoda; Insecta; Coleoptera; Chrysomelidae. The record is from RNAcentral.
AUUGAAUGUGUAGAAACAAAUAACCUUUAGAAUUGAAUAACAUAUCAUUUGUAGGAUUUAUACGACGAAACUUUUACUUGGAAUUAUAUCAAUCUUUAUUUUUUGCGAACAUGGACGCACCGAAAACUUCUGAUAUUGUUCUUCUCUCUGGUAAUUCUCAUCCAGAAUUGGCUAAUUUAAUCCAUAAACGACUAGGGGUAAAAUCUAGCGGAUGUGCUGUCUAUCAUAAAUCUAAUCGUGAGUCAAUGGUCCAAAUAAAUGAUUCUAUUAGAGGAAAAGAUGUUUAUAUAAUUCAAACAGGAGCAAAAGAUGUCAACAACAACAUAAUGGAGUUGCUUAUAAUGGCCUAUGCUUGUAAAACUUCAUCAGCAAAAUCUAUUGUUGGAGUGAUUCCUUACCUACCAUACAGUAAACAGUGCAAGAUGAGGAAGAGAGGUAGUAUUGUCACAAAAUUGUUAGCUCAAAUGAUGUGCAAUUCUGGAUUAACACAUAUUAUAACAAUGGACCUGCAUCAAAAGGAAAUCCAAGGAUUUUUCGAUUGCCCAGUAGAUAACUUGAGAGCAAGUCCUUUUCUUCUUCAGUAUAUUCAAGAAAGUAUUCCAGAUUAUCGUAAUUCAGUAAUAGUAGCCAGAAAUCCAGCUGCUACUGGUAAAGCCACUUCAUAUGCUGAACGUCUUCGUCUUGGUAUAGCUGUUAUUCAUGGAGAACAGAAACAGUCUGAUUCUGAUGAAGUAGAUGGAAGAUAUUCCCCACCAACCUUACCAAGAUCACGUACUAUGGAUGCAGGAGUAGGUGUGCCUGUACAUAUCGCUAAGGAAAAACCUCCGAUAAAUGUAGUAGGUGAUGUAGGAGGGCGAAUAGCUAUCAUGGUGGAUGACUUAAUAGAUGAUGUCCAUUCUUUUGUAGCAGCUGCUGAAGUUCUUAAAGAACGUGGGGCUUAUAAGAUAUAUGUUAUGGCAACCCAUGGUCUACUUUCGUCUGACGCUCCACGUCUAAUAGAAGAUUCACCCAUUGAUGAGGUGGUAGUCACAAAUACAAUUCCCCAUGAGCUACAGAAAAUGCAGUGCCAUAAGAUUAAAACUGUGGAUAUAUCAAUAUUGCUCUCUGAAGCUAUUAGAAGAAUUCAUAACAAGGAAUCCAUGUCAUAUCUAUUUAAGAAUGUUACAUUGGAAGACUAAAUCUUCAUAUAUUGAACAAAAAAUUCGGUAUUAUUGAGUUUUUAGCAAUAUAAUAUGCAAUUAUUAUAAAAUAAAAACCAGUGCAUUUCAUUACUAACUUACAAGCUUUGAAAUAAGCUGUUAAUAGAAAAUACCUGAUGUUUGUGCAAAUGAAACAUGUUAUAGAUAAUCAACUAUUUUCAAUGGGAAAUAAGCCACAAUUUUACCAAAAAAAAUUAUUUUAUUAACGUUAUAAAUGAGUCAGAUUAAAUAAAUUAUUAGAAGAAUUUUUUACUAAGCAACAACAUUUUCGUUUAAUUUAGUAUUAUUUUGUAUUUUGACAACGACACCCGACUUGGACGUCGAAACGUUAAUAAAAUCAUUUUUUUGGUAAAAUUGUGGCUUAUUUCCCAUUGAAAAUAGUUGAUUAUAAAAAUGCCACAAGGAAAUAGCUUCAGAACAACAUGUUAUAGUAUAGAUGUUAAAGAGAAUUUCAGAGCAUUAAAGAUUCAAUUUGUAUAUUUUAAGAUAUCGUAUGCAUUGGUUUUGAUUUUGUAUGACUUGCAUAUUCACAUUUAUAUAUAAGAGCUUAAAUUCAUUUAGUAGGACAUUGUCGAUAUACAAAAAUAUUCGGUGAUCAUUAAAACGGCAAAAUAAUUUGUAGGAAAUAAAACUAGAUUCAUCACAAAUCUGAUUUGAUCAUAAAAAUAUGGAUUUAAUCAUAAAAAAUAGAUUACAUAUUUAGAAUUGUGUUCCUCCGAGUGUUGUCAACUUUAAGACGGAGAAUAGCGUUUAUUCUGACAAAAUCUCUUCAAACCUAGCCCAGUCCAUUAUCUGAUGAUUUUCAUCCAUGACAUAUUUUCCUUCAAAUGCCUUAUGGUCUUUCGAUUUUAUCUUUUACAAUUAAUUGGGGAUGUAAUAUUUUUCUUGCUCUUUUUUUAAUUGUUGUAGAACUUCUUCAUUUGGAAUAUUUACUGUCCAAGAUAUUUUCAUGAUUUGAUGGUAAACUCUCGUUUCGAUUAUUUCUAGUUCUUUAAGUCUUUAUGGUUCCCUACCGACUCCAUAAACUAGUAUUGACCAUAAACUACAGGGUGUAACAAAAAUACAGGUCAUAAAUUAAAUCACAUAUUCUGAGACCAAAAAUAGUUCGAUUGAACCUAACUUACCUUAGUACCAAUGUGCACAUAAAAAAAAUUACAGUCCUUCGAAGUUACAAAAUGAAAAUCGAUUUUUUCCAAUAUAUCGAAAACUACUAGAGAUUUUUUAUUGAAAAUGGGCAUGUGGCAUUCUUAUGGCAGUAGUAUCUUAAGAAAAAAUUAUAGUGAAAUUUGGACACCCCUUAAAACUUUUAUGGGGAUUUUGUUCUUUUAAACCCCCACAAACUUUUGUGCACGUUUCAAUUUAAUUAUUAUUGCACUACCAUUAGUUAAACAAAGUGUUUUAAAAACUUUUUUGCCUCCUAGUACUUUUUCGAAAAGUCAGUUUUUAUCGAGUUAUUUUGAAUAUUUGUCAAAUCCACCACAUAUUUGUAUAUGGUUAAGUACGAUUAUGGAGACUUGGUAAUAAUAUGCAAAUUUAUUUAUGAUUUACAUUUUUAGGUAUAUUUUGAACCAUAUUAAAAAAGAAGCCACAUCUCGAUAAAAGGUGCCUUAUCGAAAAAAUACAAAGAAACAAAAAAGUUUUAGAAAUACUGUGUUUAACUAAUGGUACCGCAAUAAUAGUUUAAUUGGAACGUAAUCGAACGAGUUUAAAGGAACAAAACCCCCAUAAUUCUUUUUAUGUAAACAUAUUAAAAAAAGCCGCAUCUCGAUAAAAACUGCCUUAUCGAAAAAAUACUAAGAGGCAAAAAAGUUUUGAAAAUAUUCAGUUUAACUAAUGGCACCACAAUAAUAUUUUAAUUGGCACGUACACAAAAGUUUGGGGGGGGGGGGUUAAGGGAAGAAAACCCCAUACAAUUUUUAGGGGGUGCAUAAAUUUCACUAUAAUUUUUCUUUAAGAUGUUCCUAUCAUAAGAAUGCCACACGUCCAUUUUCAAUAAAAAGUCUAAUAGUUUUCGAUAUAUUCGAGAAAAUUGAUAUUCAUUUUGUAACUUCAAAGGGCUGUAACUUUUUUAUGUGCAUAUUUGUACUAAGGUAAGUUAGGUUCAUUCGAACUAUUUUUGGUCCCAGAAUAUGUACCUUAAUUUAUGACCUGUAUUUUUGUUACAUCCUGUAUAUUGACCAUCUUGUCUUUUAUUCAUUUAAUCCAGAGGUUCCCAAACUAUUUUUUCUCGUAGACCCCUUUAAAAAAUAUACUGGUUUCGGUGGACCCCCUGCUGCUAUAUUUUUACCAUACUUCCAAUGAAAAACAUUGGGGGGGGGGGGUAAAAAUAAGACAUUGAAGGUCUUUUUCGUCUUCUUUUCUUUUCUCAAAAUAUCAUUUUAAGCGAUUUUACAUUGAUUUGGAAUCUAUUUAAACAAAUUUGCAUUUUUUAUCGUAAAUUAUCAAUAAUUGAAAAAAUUGUGUUUUAAUAUAAGGGUUAUCCAAAAUGUGAUUAUUAGGCAUUAUAACAAGUUUUUUGUUUUAAAACAAGUUGUUGAUCAAACUUUAGCGUAGAAAACGAUAAAAUACUGUUUUCCAUUUUCCUCCAUUCUCAAAAUACAUGUUCUUCUAUUUGGCUGAAAAUUUGCCCACAUAUAUCCAAAACACAGGACUUAUGUGUAUAAUGGUUAAAAGAAUUUGUAUAGUUUUACAAUACAAGAAAAGUUACAUGCAAUAAAGAGUCAAAAUUAUAUAGUACAGUCGGGUUAGCAUUUGAUCUUGCAUGCCGAGCUACCCAAGCAAGAUUCUAUUUUUCUAAUCUUAAGGGGGUCAAUAGUAGUGUAAAUUUAAAAUCUCGAAUAAAGGAGAACCGUUUUUGCUCAAUAUCUCCGCCAUAUUUAACGUUUCGACAACAAGUGUAAAAACUGAAGUUGUGGAAAAUAUGAUUUCGUAUAAUUUAUUCUAUUAUAAAUUUUUUGUGCCGUCGAUAUUUUCCGAAUUAUGGGAGAAAGAGUGACAGUUACAGCAUAAUUAUUGAAUUAUCUCGUUUAUUAUUAGUUUUAUAACAAAAAUGUACCUAUACAAAAAUGGAGAGAAUUAAAUUUUAUACAAUUUUGAUCUCUCUCAUGUUUUUGCUAAAAUCAAUAUUUCAGGUAGUACGUAUGCGGUAAACGCGCGAGCAUAAGCCCUGAUUGAUUUGAUAGCAGUGGUUUUUGUUCAAUAUCUCCGCAAUUCUCAACUUUUCGACAAAAAUGGUAGGAAUUGAAAUUGAUCCAAAAAAAUUGUGUUUACAAUAAUUAUUAUAAUUUUUUUAACCAUUUUUUUCGUAUGGCGGAUAUUUUCCGAAUUAAUUGUACUUACAGUAGAUGCCUACAUAUAUUUUUGACUCUGAUAUUAUUCCACGUAUUUUUUUUUGUAUUGUAAAACGAUACAAAUCCUUUUAACCACUUAAAGUCCUGUAUUUUGGCUAUCUGUGGGCAAAUUUUCAGUCAAAUCGAAAGACAUUUGUUUUGGAAAUGGAGGAAAAUGUAAAAAACGGUAUUUUAACGUUUUCUACACUAAAAUUUGAUCAACAACUUGUCUUUAAUCAAAAUAACUUUUUAUGAUGCAUUAUAAUAAUAUUUUUGGGCCAUUACUCUUAAAAUAUUAUUUUUUCCAUUGAUAUUUUACAAUAAAAAAAUGCAAAUUUGUUUAAAUAAAUACCAAAUCGCUAUAAAAUUUUCGUGGACCCCACUUGCAACUUGUGAACCCCCAUUUUUAUUUCACGCCAACGUAAACCCCCGUUGAAUCCCUCGUGGACCCCUGGGGGUCCACCUGGACCACUUUGGGAAUCACUGAUUUAAUCCAACGUCCCGAGAUCUGUUAUGAGUUACCUGUUCAGCAUUUUUCCAUUUAAAAGCGACUGAUAUUAGAGGGAACGGAAUAUUUUUUUAAUUCUUCUUUACCAUCAUUUCGGUAUUUUUGUUAUUUAUCUCUAUUCCAAACUCAUUGCAUGCUUUAAACUGCUUUGUCAGCGGUAAAUAUUUGGAUGCCAUUAAGAUUUAUUCCCGCAAUGAAUUUUUCUGCUGAAUAGUAUUUUUUGAGUACAUGUAUUAUCCCUUUGCUUAUGUUAAUAUUGUUUGAGACUUAGUCGUGAAUUCUAUCUAAUCCUAUUGUUUUGUUGCCAGUUCUCAUUUGUUAUUAUUCAUAAAACUUUAUGGUUUACUUCAAAUUUACCAAAGCUAGAAAUUUUCCAUGUUUCGCAUGAAUACUUUUUCUAAACUUAGGAAGCACAGAAACACAUCUUUUGACAUUUGACACUUUUAGCAUAAUUCUUUAGUGAGAAGAGGGUUUACUAAAUCCCUAUACGGUUCAGAAAUCCAAACAAUAGUUUCUAAUUUCUUUUUCACCUAUUUUAUGUACCAUAUUGUGAAAUAUCUUUAAUAGCGUUGACACUGACUUAUAAAAAAUGUUUUAAUUUAUACGAAACUUCAUUGAGUCAGAUAUUAUACAUUUAUUUUAUCUAUAAUCAUAAACAUUACUCUUUUGUUGGAUGUUUAAACCAUCGUUUAUCGUUUAGUACAUCCAUCUUCACCUGUAAAUACCACAUUUGAGUCAAGUUUUUUGAUUGUUUUUAUAAAUUUAGUAUAUAAGAACAAACAAUUUACAACAUUCAUCAAAAUUGCUACUAGACCAGAGCAUUUAGGAAAAAAUAAAUUGAUUUUUAAGCACAGCAUCUAGAGACUUGCAACUUUUUGAAUGGUGUUCAGGAUGACGCCAGGAAAAAAGUCUACGAUAGAAAAAUGGGUGGAAAUGCAUAACAAUUGCAUUUUAAAGGGUACAACAUGCAUCUAAAAGUGCAUAAACAUGUCAAAAUCAGUAUUCAUAUUAAUUUUUUAUUAUUAUUACAUAUGUUUUUAUAAUUUUUAUUAUUACAAAAUAUUUUAAUUUACAAUCUGCUUCAUCGAAGCUAUAAGUAAAUAGUUUGAAUGUUAAAUACAUGAGGGAGAAGCUGCCCUGUGGCAACCCUCCUAUUACAAUUUUUACAUUAGAUCAUAAUAUAUUUAAUUUAUUAAAUCUGUUGGCCAUAGUUUCUUCAGUCGUCUUGCGAAUUCGGGAGGAGUGUUUAGCUGUCUUGCUUCAUCAUUUGGAUGACUUCUCAGUCCAUCAAGGUAGCUCUUUGUGAUCCUUUGAAUUUCUGUAUAUUAAUGGCCACAUUUUGUUAUUCAGUGGGUUUUUGGGGUCACUGAACACUGUUAAUAUAUAAUAUAAUAAUAACAUGAGAGCCAACGAUCGACAAGCGGUCUCGGCACCUUAAGAAGAAGAAGAAGACGAAUACGCAAUCAGAACCGACCGCCGAAAUACCUGGUGCCCGGGUUUACUACUAAGGUACGCCAUCUAAAUUUUAGAGGGUUUUCGGUACUCAAUUGAUGCAAAUUGAUUACUCGGAGGGGAUCGCUGAACACGAGUACCUCAUUAGAACCGACCCCCUAGAGCAGGGGUCACCAAUUAGCGGACCACGGUCCGCAUCCGGACCGUGAGCUAGUUUUGUGCGAACCGUCAAUAAAUUCAGAAUAUACCUAGUGUUUGGCAAUUUUGAAAAUCUGGCCAUGAAAUUGUGUACUAUGUUUGGCUCAACUUAUGUGUGCGAAGCCGCUUUAUCAAUAAUGAACUUUAUUAAAAAUCGGUAGAGAUCUCACUUAACAGAUGAAUAUCUCAACUCCCUAAUGAGACAUCAGUUGCACUAAACUCACUCCAAACUUCAGACAGGUUGUACAUAAAAAAUGUCAUUUUUCUCUCUGAUUAAUUUAAUUUUGUAAAGAGUUUUCCCCCUUAUUGUUAUACUUACUAAUCAUUAAUUUUGAAAUUAAGUAAGCUGUAAUAUAAAAUUGUCAUGUGCAUUUUUUUAUAUUCAUUUCCUCUCUACUAUAUGUUAAGUAGGAGUAUGUACUUUUCAGAUGUGCAUUUAAUUAAAAUAAUUUUCAGAUUUAAUAAGUUUGCAACAAACACCUUGCAUUGAAACUAAUGUAGAAAAGAUAACAUGUUAAUUACCAUUUUGUACUAUGAUUGUUUAUUUUAAAUUCCUCAGUUUCCUUUCUACAAAAUUGAAGAUGUCUAAAAACUUCAUUAGCAUUCAAAAUAUAAAUUUCUAAUGUUUAAAAUAUUCUCAUUAACAAUAAUUUACAAUACUGCUGUUUUCAAAAUAUACUGAUAAUAACAUCAAAACAAUACACAAUGAAUUUAUAUUUUAUUUAUUGUACCAGGAAAACUUACAGAAAAGUAUACAGUAACCAAAAAACAAUCAGAUAUUAUUAGUUUUCCUUUUCAUAUUAGUCCAUGUGUGAGGCCACUUUCGUCUGAAAAAUGUUUCUGACUCGAUUUCUUUGCGGAUUCCUGUUCAAAAAUGUCCCCUUUAAACAAAUCUGAAGGGUGCCGGGUGAAACUAUUUUUUAAGCAAAUUCAAAAUUACUUUUUUGUCUAGAAAGAUGUAUUUUUAGGUUUCUUGGGUAAUUAUAAACAAUAAAGGUCUCUUGUCAUAUUUCUGAAAAGUUGAUAGUUUUCGAGUUAUAAGCGAUUAAAAUCUGAAAAAUGCGAAAAUAUGCAUUUGCGAUGCUUGAAAACUCUUAAGCUUUAAUAAAAUGACAGAUCUUUUUUAUUUAAGAUGACCCAAAAAUGCUAAGAACAUAUUUUCGCGGGCAAAAGAAGUGAUGAUUUGAAUUUGUUAAAAAAUAUAUUAAACAAUUUCUGCCCAAAAAUUUCGCCCGGCACCCUUCUGAUAUGUUUAUAGGGGAUAUUUUUUAACAAGAAUCCACAAAGAAACCGAAUCAGAACAGUCAGACACAGGCAGCAUAAAUCCUGACCCCGGAAGUAUCAUAGGUUUUCGAAACGGACCCUCAGGGAAACUAAUUGGUGACCCCUGCCCUAGAGCACCUGUUGCCCAGGGUCAUCUUCUGGAAUUUCGAGGGAUUGCGGCACUAAAGUGAUACUAACUCAGGGGAUUUUUUGGGGGUUGCUCGACACAAAUAUGACAUCAGAACCGACUCUCAGAGCACCUAGUGACCAGGGUGAAUGAUAUGCACGUCAUUUUCUGGAAUUUUGAGGCCUUCCGACACUAAAUUGAUGCAAGUAGAUUACUCAGGAUCUACUGUGGUGGUUUUUUACGUUGCUGAACACGAAUAGGCUAUCAGAACCGACCUCCGAAAACGAAAUUCCAGAAUAUAUCGUGCAAAUCAGUUAUCCUGGGCACUAGGUGCUCCGAGGGUCAGUUCUGAUGACGUAUUCGUGUUCAGCGAUCCUAAAAACCCUCCGAGUAAUCUGUUUGCAUCAAUUUACAUAGUACCGAAACCCCUCCAAACUCCAGAUGACGUGCCCUAACAGUAACCAUGAGCAUCAGAUGCAUGGGGUCGGUUCUGAUUGCAUAUUCGUGUUGUGACCCCAAAAACCCACCGAAUAACAAAAUCUGGCCCUUAAUAUACUGAUUUUGACAUGUUUAUGCACUUUUGGAUGCAAUUAUGCAUUUCUGCCCAUUUUCUAUAGUGGACUUUUUUCCUGACAUGAUCCUAAACACAAUGCAAAAAGUUGUAAGUCGAUAGGUGCUGUGUUUAAAAAUUUAUUUAUUCUGGUGUUUUUAUUGCUAAAUGCCCCGAUCUAUACGCUUUUGGUACACAUUUACGGCUCCUACAAAUAUUUUAUGAAUUGUUCAAUUGUCCCGUUAGUUGUAGCAUUUAUUGAUGUUUAAUUUUAUGGUUUAUUCUUUAAUGUAAAACUAAAAUUUUUAAUUUUUUUGCAUUUUUUGUUUGUAAUAGUGAUAUUUUCUUCCAAUAAUUUAAUAGUAUACCGAAUUUUAUUUUUAGUAUUAGAAGUGUGUAUUAUAUUUUACCUAUAGUAUGUUUGUAAGACUGCUGGUUUUAUAAUCUUAAAAUUAAGUAAAAAAAUAAUUAUCCUAA